AUGCAGACCUGUUCCUGCUUUGUAUUUAUUAUGGUUUGUGCAUUGAAAGCAGCCCCCAGUCACUCAGACUGACAAGCAAAACACCACAAUGAAGGUAGAGUAUCAUUUCAGCUCCUAUGAUGGUCAAAAAGGGAAUGUACACAGCAUAACAAUGUGAUUAACUGCUGCAUUCUGAUCAGAAAAUCAAUGUAAAGACACUUAGAUGAGACCACAAGGAUUGUUGCAUACUGCUGAAACCUUGUAAGUGACUCCAUUAGACAACAUGAUAACAUCAUACUGUACCUGGGAGAUGUUUCCUUCCUGCUCUUACAGAUAGAUGAAACUUCAUUACAACAUCUCUAACUCUAUCACUUACUCGUCAACGACCCAUUCUGGGGUUUCUUUGACACAAAUGAAACAGAGCUUGAGUGUGUGUGUGUUAGUUAGUGACCUAGCUAUGAGCUUGUGUUUGGAGAUUUUGGUCUUACAGGUGUUUAAGUCACUUAUAAGAUAUGGUUAAUGAUAGCAUUAAAUGCACUCACCUCAACAAAGAGAUCUACACAAGUAACCAGCACCAGUAUACGUUGUUUACUUAACACGCCAGUGUGAAACCUCUGCUGCCCCCCUGUGGAUUUCUGAGUAAUUACCAAAACAGUCUGCAUGCUCUAAGAUUACGGUACAGUUCAGGUUGGUACAGUACGGUAUGGUUUGGAAUGGUAAAGCCCUUUGUCAGACUGAGUACAGUACAUUUUUAUUGGUAGACAGUGUGUGGGCUGUGAUGGUCGUGUCAGUGGCAUGACGUUGUACCCAUGCGAUGGCAACGAACGGUGUUAGUGAACGCAACACAACAGACAACAAUGGAGGACGUCCAGCAGCUGUUGUUUUCCUGCUCGGUUUGUGGCCGUUUGUCUCAACAAGGUGUCGAGCUUUGCGUGAGAAUAGACUGCGGGUGUUAAAGAAACACCGGUCGCAAAAGGGGGAUGUUUUACUUUUGCCCAAUCAGCUGACUGUUGUAGGUGUUUCUAGCUCCACUGUGCCAUUUUACUCUGGUACCUUAAGAGAAGGGGGCUAAAAAAUGGAACGGUCGGGACUGGUUAUUUUGGUUCUAUUCCUAAUAGAAACACAAUAAAUACGUACCGUAUUUUUCUCAUAUCACACACACAGAGUGUAAGAAAGAAGAGAAACUGAUGUCUCUGUCUCUACGGAACUUUGUGAUGUUAUUUUCUUGCUGUUUUUAUCUUGUUUGAGCUGCAUCCAGGAAACUUAACUGGAGCUGCAUGGUGAAGGAACAGCAGUGGCUGUGACUGGCAUAUGCAGAGAACUCUCGCGAGAACCUCCAACCUGCAAGUGACUCCCAUAUUUUCAGCAGUCUCCUGAUCGUCUCUUGAGUCACCACGUAGUCAGCCUGAAUGCAUUUCCAAUGCAUCCUCUUGUAUCCAUGGAGCAUGCCACACUGUAUCUGUCCAACUGAUCCUGGAGAAACAUUGCUAUAUGUCUAGCAGAUCUGAAUGAACUUUCCUUCAACCGCAAAGUCCUCAGGUGUCUGUGUAAAGUCGACAAACUAAUGGUAAUACCAUCUGUGUGACUUAAGGACAGGACUAUCUCCCAGUGAUUACCCAGAUUAAAGUAAAACUUGAUUAACUAAACAAGCCGUCCAUGUUGUUAUAAAUCAAACUCUCAAUAAAGGAAUGAAUGCGUUUAUUCUUCCAAAUGCUCUCUAAACUCAGAAAAAAAAUGAUUGAGUAAAUCAGAAAAAAAAUUACCUCCAUCA
Long non-coding RNA from Solea solea (common sole), 1750 nucleotides. RefSeq lists it as uncharacterized. NCBI's taxonomy places the organism in Eukaryota, Metazoa, Chordata, Actinopteri, Pleuronectiformes, Soleidae. The record is from RefSeq and is a predicted model, not a curated record. The transcript is spliced from 2 exons.